CCUACGGGAGGCAGCAGUGGGGAAUAUUGGACAAUGGACCGAGAGUCUGAUCCAGCAAUUCUGUGUGCACGAUGACGUUUUUCGGAAUGUAAAGUGCUUUCAGUUGGGAAGAAAAAAAUGACGGUACCAACAGAAGAAGUGACGGCUAAAUACGUGCCAGCAGCCGCGGUAAUACGUAUGUCACGAGCGUUAUCCGGAUUUAUUGGGCGUAAAGCGCGUCUAGGUGGUUAUGUAAGUCUGAUGUGAAAAUGCAGGGCUCAACUCUGUAUUGCGUUGGAAACUGUGUAACUAGAGUACUGGAGAGGUAAGCGGAACUACAAGUGUAGAGGUGAAAUUCGUAGAUAUUUGUAGGAAUGCCGAUGGGGAAGCCAGCUUACUGGACAGAUACUGACGCUGAAGCGCGAAAGCGUGGGUAGCAAACAGGAUUAGAUACCCGGGUAGUC
This 443-nucleotide ribosomal RNA is filed under the name uncultured Fusobacterium sp. Its description in RNAcentral is "bacterial SSU rRNA". It matches the Rfam family "Bacterial small subunit ribosomal RNA", at positions 338 to 795 of the family's 1533-position model. Lineage: Bacteria; Fusobacteriati; Fusobacteriota; Fusobacteriia; Fusobacteriales; Fusobacteriaceae. The record is from RNAcentral.